GCUCCCGUGGCCUAAUGGAUAAGGCGUUGGUCUCCUAAGUUGAGUGGUCAAAGCAGAGAUAACCAACGAUGGGGGUUCAAGUCCCCCCGGGAGCC
Molecule: transfer RNA, 95 nt
Filed under: Gongylonema pulchrum
Lineage: Eukaryota; Metazoa; Nematoda; Chromadorea; Rhabditida; Gongylonematidae
Rfam family: tRNA
About the family: Transfer RNA (tRNA) molecules are approximately 80 nucleotides in length. Their secondary structure includes four short double-helical elements and three loops (D, anti-codon, and T loops). Further hydrogen bonds mediate the characteristic L-shaped molecular structure. tRNAs have two regions of fundamental functional importance: the anti-codon, which is responsible for specific mRNA codon recognition, and the 3' end, to which the tRNAs corresponding amino acid is attached (by aminoacyl-tRNA synthetases). tRNAs cope with the degeneracy of the genetic code in two manners: having more than one tRNA (with a specific anti-codon) for a particular amino acid; and 'wobble' base-pairing, i.e. permitting non-standard base-pairing at the 3rd anti-codon position.
Source: Rfam by way of RNAcentral